GGCGGAGUAGCUCAGUUGGUUAGAGCAGCGGAAUCAUAAUCCGCGUGUCGGGGGUCCGAGUCCCUCCUCCGCUACCA
Molecule: transfer RNA, 77 nt
Filed under: Holosporales bacterium
Lineage: Bacteria; Pseudomonadati; Pseudomonadota; Alphaproteobacteria; Holosporales
Description: tRNA-Met
Rfam family: tRNA
About the family: Transfer RNA (tRNA) molecules are approximately 80 nucleotides in length. Their secondary structure includes four short double-helical elements and three loops (D, anti-codon, and T loops). Further hydrogen bonds mediate the characteristic L-shaped molecular structure. tRNAs have two regions of fundamental functional importance: the anti-codon, which is responsible for specific mRNA codon recognition, and the 3' end, to which the tRNAs corresponding amino acid is attached (by aminoacyl-tRNA synthetases). tRNAs cope with the degeneracy of the genetic code in two manners: having more than one tRNA (with a specific anti-codon) for a particular amino acid; and 'wobble' base-pairing, i.e. permitting non-standard base-pairing at the 3rd anti-codon position.
Source: RNAcentral